Cyanistes caeruleus (blue tit) is the source of this 2118-nucleotide long non-coding RNA. RefSeq lists it as uncharacterized. Lineage: Eukaryota; Metazoa; Chordata; Aves; Passeriformes; Paridae. The record is from RefSeq and is a predicted model, not a curated record.
GCUCAACAGUUCCGCACUACUCCAACUCCUCACUGCUACAAACCCUCUGAGACCUCCAGCAAGAUACAAAGAACCAUCACUGACUGUUUUGCUGCUGCUGCUUCUCUGUUCCACAGUUGUUUUUCCUGUAUAUUGAAGUCAGUUCAAGCUUCACUGUUUCCCAUGGGACAGGACAUCAUUGUGCUGAGCCUCUUUCUUUAUACAUCUUCAAGCAACCCACUCCCAACUUCGGACUUCCCUAUGGCAUUUACCUCUUGAUGCCUGACACAUCCAGCAGUAACAUGUGGCUAAUUUUAGGGAAAUGCAGCUGUACUUGGCUAGGUCACACCAGCUGUGGUAUGUUUGGGGACAAAACAACUAUGAAAUCCUGAACAGCUUUCCCAGCAAGAAGAUUGUUUCACAAUCAAGCAGCUUCAUCAUUUUUGCCUCUAUGCUGCGAGAUAGUUUGACCUCAUUCUUCUUAUGGCUCUAAGCCCACGACAUAUGCAGCUAUGCCCAAGCAAGUUCCGUGUCCAGAAGGAUUUGAUGAUAGCUGAUCUCCAGUCCUAUAGUAGCUGUGGUAGCUACAUACAGAAAGAGAAGCAGAAUAUCUACAAACAAUAACAAGUAUCUAAAAACAAUAUUGUUGCCUUGUUUAAAAAUUAUAUAAAACCUAAAAAAAACUUGAUUUCAUUUUUUGUAUCCCGCCUCCUCUUUAUCUAGAAAUUGCCAAAAUAUGUCAUGCAUGACAGUAGGGUUAACCCAAGUCAGUUGAACUCUCAAUAAUGGCUCAUCUUUGUUUCUAAUAACUGCAAAGAACUGCUUGAUGUUCUGUUGCUUUUUAACAAGCAUCCAGUGUCAAUGGGACUUCAUUAAAGAGGGUUUUUUUACUGUAGUUCUUGCUCCAAUUAAUGUUUUGUAAUAAUCAUGCUGAAAGAGGAAAGAUAUGUCGUGUCCCAAGCCAUGAGUGGGGCAUGUGUCUCGAUGGAACUCAAGCUUUGCACCAGCAGGAGAAGGAAGAAAAUACCUGAUCCUCCCCACAGUUGCUUGGAGUUUACUAGAAAUAGGAAUGGCUGCAUUGGGCCAGAGCUAGAUUCCACUUGCUUGUUAUCUCUCAGAUGCACAGAGGAAGGACAAAAAAAGCCUUGUGUGUGUGUUGGUAUGCAUAUGUGUGUACACCCAGAUAUACUCAUAUGUGUAUAUGUCAGAGUGUCCUCAGAGGUGCAUUGUGGUGGGACAGAGACAGCAGUCAUAAGGUACAGGAAAGAAAAUUCUAAUUAGAUUAUCAGGAGAAUUUCUUCACAUCUGGAAGGGCUCAGCACUUAACUAGACAAGGGCCUGAAAAAUCAGGUUGGACUGUCUUUCUAGGGAUUAAACAUGUACCCCUCCAGGGGGUUUUCCUGCCUGAAUUAUUCUGUUUCAUAUACAUGUAUAUGCAUACACAUGCACAUUCACAUUUAAAGUUCUAAAAUAUAUGAAGAUACAUAUAUGCAUGUGUGUGGCACAUUCCCUCUUCAUAUUCUCUAUGGAAAAUUGUGACUUAACUUGUUGCACUGUUGGCUAGUCUUUUCAGAGAAAAGAGAGAAGAUCUUUGGGACAGGACCCUCCAAACACACAUGUUCAGCAGUGCUAUUCAUGCAAAUUACCUCUGAACUGAGUGGGGUUCCUGGCAUUCUCAUGCAAAGGUGUGAGAGACCUAUUUUAGAACUAUAAUUUGUGGGAAUGGGUCUGGCUGGGGAUCCAAGCCAGCUGAACUUCACCCAGAAAAAAACAGGCACUAAAUUCAAGCCUUGGAAAACAUUCAUUUAAAUUAUGGCAAAAAGAAAGAGUUUAUGGCAGUUAAUAUGUUAAUCAAGCCACCCUGUAUAAGGUUAUGUUUCUAAAAUGUUCCCAGUUCUCUCCUCUGAUUGGUUGUUUUUGUCACAGUAUUUUGCAUAUUUGUAACCCCAGUUUGUGAUUGGACCCAUGCCCUCAGAUGCCGCCCUCAGACCUACCCUAUAUAUUGUUGUCUCCACCCCUAGUCCUAUCUUUGGCAUUUGUCCCUGAACUGUGUAUGGUUUAUGGGCUUCAUCCCUAUUUCAUUUCUCAUUAAAGUGUUUCUUUUUCGGGCACUCCAUUGUACUUGCUCCUUUUACUUGU